This 407-nucleotide ribosomal RNA is filed under the name uncultured bacterium. Its description in RNAcentral is "partial 16S ribosomal RNA". It matches the Rfam family "Bacterial small subunit ribosomal RNA", at positions 30 to 526 of the family's 1533-position model. The record is from RNAcentral.
AUUGAACGCUGGCGGCAGGCCUAACACAUGCAAGUCGAGCGGAGCGGCGGACGGGCGAGUAAUGCCUAGUAAUCUGCCUGGUAGUGGGGGAUAACGUCCGGAAACGGGCGCUAAUACCGCAUACUAUCAGAUGAGCCUAGGUCGGCUUAGAUAGUUGGUGGGGUAACGGCCUACCAAGUCGACGAUCCGUAACUGGUCUGAGAGGAUGAUCAGUCACCCGGGAACGGAGACACGGUCCAGACUCCUACGGGAGGCAGCAGUGGGGAAUAGUGGACAAUGGGCGAAAGCCUGAUCCAGCCAUGCCGCGUGUGUGAAGAAGGUCUUCGAAUUGUAAAGCACUUUAAGUUGAGAGGCGUUACCAACAGAAUAAGCACCGGCUAACUUCGUGCCAGCAGCCGCGGUAAUUC